Molecule: microRNA precursor, 145 nt
Filed under: Gossypium hirsutum (cotton)
Lineage: Eukaryota; Viridiplantae; Streptophyta; Magnoliopsida; Malvales; Malvaceae
Description: miR7489 stem-loop (ghr-MIR7489)
Source: miRBase by way of RNAcentral
UGGUAUGGGCAUUGUUGCCAAUACAGGAGAACGUGGBUCUUUUUGACAUAAUGCCUAGAACUACCCAUAGCUCCAUCCCAACUCAUAAAUAGGAGGAUAAGACUGAAUUCACGUCCUCCUAUACUGGUAACAAUGCGCAUGCCAA